ACAUGACUACAUCAUAGCAUUAAUGCACUGGAUCCCAUUAGAACUCUACAGUUAAGCACGCUCAGGCUGGAGUAGUACUAGGAUUGGUGACCUCCGAGGAAGUCCUAGUGUUUUACAUGCC
Molecule: non-coding RNA, 121 nt
Organism: Picea glauca (white spruce)
Lineage: Eukaryota; Viridiplantae; Streptophyta; Pinopsida; Pinales; Pinaceae
Source: Rfam